AAAAUUCUUCGAACUUGUUUCCGGUUUUUCGUUAUUUUAUGUUUAAGUGCAGAAAGGUAAAUUGCGGAAAGUAAAAAGACACCGGAAAUUAUAGUGGUUCCCUUCACAAUCCGAAGGUACAUCCACUCCCCUUUCGACACGAAAGAGAUUUCACUAUAGUUUAGAAUUAUGGUACAGCCUAUUCACACCAACGGUGAUGCCUACUGUCUAACCUAUAGGUAAACAAGUGUAUGAAGAACAAUCCUCUUCAACACCAACCCUUGUGUCCAACAAUCCUGGAUCACAAGUCAAACAGAAAUAAAUCUUUUUGAUGAUUUUAACAAAGUGUAGUAUUAUCAAUCUUCUCUUGAUUGAUCUUCUCCUUAGAUAAAUAAUUCACUCAAUGAAAAAUAUACAAGUGUUCAACAACAAUGGAAUGAGAUGAAAAUUUGAUUAUGAACACUUUUAAAAAUAUUGAAGGAAAUAUGAAAGAGUGAUUAUUUUAAGUUUGUAUGAAAAUUCUUGGAGGUGAAAAUUCAUUUUGAAAAUUCAAGAAUUUAUAUUGCCAAAACACCUUUUCAAAGAGGUAUAAAUUUUUCAUAAAAAAUGAUGAAAAGGUACAAGUUUCUGAAAAUUAUUUUUCACUGAAACGAACAGUGUUAACCGGUUAACCAAAUGGGUUAACCGGUUAACGCGUAUAACGUUAACAAAGAAUUUCAAAAAACUGGGCCGUUAACCGGUUAACCCAUAUGGUUAACCGGUUAACACUGUUGAAAUGCAGAAAAAUACUUUAAGAAAAAUGUGUCUUUCAUUUCAACAUGUUAACAAAUGGUUAUGUUAAAAAUGCAAAUGCAGAUCAUGAUUGUUGAACACUUGUAUACUAAUCUAAGAGUGAAUUAGAUAUACCUUAGAAGUGAAUCAACAAUCUUGCAAACGGUUGACUUGAAAAAGAAGCUUGAUCAAAAUGUUUCUCAUGCAUAUGUGGCUUGAUUACUUUGAUGCUUGAAUUAUCUUUGAAGCUCUUCUCUUUUUGCAUUGAUACAUGUUGUCUUCAUCAAAAUACUUUUUGGAUUGAAGCUUGCUUCUACAAUCUCCCCCUUUUUGAUGAUGACAACCAACUUUGAGAUAGAUGCUUGAAAGUGAAGUUUCUCUAAUUUGAUUCUCCCCCUAAGUUUAAGAACUCCCCCUAAAUGAGAGGCAUACAAAAUUCUGCAUAGAGAAACCAUUAGAGAAACAAGUCUUCUCCCCCUUUGGCAUUAGCAAAAAGGAAGAAACUUAUGAAAAAGAAAAGUAGACAAGCAUACACACAUUAUGUGAUCAUUAGAUAAGCAUUCAAGCACAUAAUGACGACAAAAUUAAAAAAAAGUGUACGGUAAACAUAAUCAGCAUAAUCAUAAUCUAUAACUAAAAACAGAACAACACAUAACAAGAACAUAGAUAAAACAUAAUGCUUUAAUCUUCUUCCGAACUGUCCUCAUUCUCCUCGCCUUCCGCUUCACUACCGGCUUCACCUUCAUCAUCUUCCAUGGGAAGGUUGCGAGAACUUAACACAAGGUUUCGAAGGCUUUUGAUAGCGCGGGUGGUUUCACGGUGUUGGCUCAUCAUGGUGGUAUAGAGAAACUCAUUUGUAAUGCCACCCUCCGGAAUAGGAAAGUUUGAAGAAGAAGACCCGUCAUCAUACUUGUAAGAUCCGUCAUUGCAUUGAAUAAUCCCGAUAUUCUUCAUAAUAGUAACACCGUUGAUCUCAUUGGUGGUAGGGGUCAUAGCCAGAAACGGUUCUCUCCCGAUUUCCAUGUCUGUUAAUUCCAAAAUUCUUGAGAUAAGACGACCAUAGGGCAGCCUUGUUUUGAGAGAUAGUUGUUGUUUGAGAUGAUACAUCAUAGUAGGUAGCCAAUUAAUUCUGAUUUUGUUCUUCAUAGCAAAGAGAACCUGCAUCUCCAAAUCAUUGAUUUGGGAAAGGUUUGAAUCCUUUGGCAGCAAGACAUGGCAAAUAACAUAAUGUAGCAUUCGAUCAUCAGCAGACAAGUUCUUAGCAUAACAGAGUAUGCGAGAAGUGCGAUGUCCCGACACAACAGCAUCCCUUGGAAAUCGACAGAUUGAGUAGUAAUAUUCCAUUUUAUCAUAUUGAGCCCAUUUUCCAUCAACAUGAUUAACACCUUUCCGAAGAAAAAAUCCUGCAUAGGGAAUCCUAAGAGACGCAGCCAGCGACCUUAGGUCUGUUACAAUUUCACAAUCUCUCACAGUGGCAGACAGCAUAUGUUGAUCAUCAUCAUUCAGAUUCAAGGUGAAAUGGUUCAGAAAAGAUUUUACCAAAUCAGUAUAAAUUUUGCCAUUAUCAGUUAUAAAUGCAUGCAACCCUUGAUAUCUCAACAGCUCAGGGAAAGUGAAAGUAGUAGAGGUGAAGGAUUUGAGAUUCACAUACUUACCCUUAAGCAGAUGUCUAACCCUGACUUUGAAAUCCAUUCUCCUUUUCUUGGCUGUUUCCAUUUUCAACUCUUCCUCUUCACUGCUAGAUGAUGAUACAGGAGCCUUUCCCAUUCUUGGAGGAGCCAUGAAGAAGAUGGAGAUUCUAGGGUAUUGAGAGGGAUUUUCGGAAUAGGAUUUUGAGAGUUAGUAAGUGGGUAUGGUUGAGUGGGGUUUAAUGGAGCUUUAAAGAUACUCAAGAAUAUUGAAAGUUGAAAAAGUGAGAUGAAGGGUUUAUGGUGAGUAAAUGUGGGAAGAGAGAGUUAUGAGGUGUAGGUGAAGAGUAAAGCACAUGCACCAAACAUAAAACACAUAUACCAAAAUUUAAAGUUAAAAAAAAUAAAAUUAAAAAUUCUGUAUUCAUAACGUUAACGCAGAAGUGCUGUUUUGGAGGUGUUAACCGGUUAACCUAUACCGUUAACCGGUUAACGGUCUGAAAAUUUUCAAAAAUAAUAAAAAAACAGCAGCUCUGUUUUGAAAAAUUGGGAAAAGAUUUUUACAAAAAAUUUUCACAAAGUAUUAGCACUUAUCAAUACGCAACUUUCGAUUUAAAAAAAAUUUAAAACCGAUAAUUUUUGGACAUGCGAAAGUGAGAAAAACUAAAAACGGCGAAAAAGAAGUGCUAGCAUUGCAUAACAUAAAAAUUGAAAAUAAACAAAUUUUUAGCAACUAUACCACAUAACAAGUAAUUUUAAGACACGGUUAGAUGUCACCUUCAUUGAGAAUACCAAGUUCUCGCCGAAUCUUGAAGAAUUGCUCUUUAGCCAAUGGUUUUGUGAAUAUGUCAGCGAGUUGGUUAUGUGUAUCCACGAACGUAACAUCUACAUCUCCGUUAAGCACGUGAUCUCGAAGGAAAUGAUGUCGGAUAUCUAUGUGCUUCGUCCUUGAAUGCAUGACCGGGUUCUUUGUGAUGUUGAUGGCACUUGUGUUAUCGCAUCGAAGAGGAAUGCAGCCGAGGUCUACACCAAAAUCCAGAAGUUGUUGCUUAAGCCAUAAAAUUUGUGCACAACAACUGCCUGCUGCAAUGUACUCUGCUUCGGCCGUGCUAAGUGCGACACAUGCUUGCUUCUUGCAUGCCCACGACACUAGUGCAUUCCCGAGAAUGUGACACGUACCACUUGUGCUUUUUCUAUCGGUCUUACAUCCUGCAUAGUCAGCGUCAGAAUAACCAAUCAAGGAGCAUAUACUACCUUUUGGAUACCAUAGUCCGACGUUCGUUGUUCCUUUGAGAUAUUUCAUAAUCCUCUUCACGGCGGUGAGAUGCGAUUCCUUCGGGUUUGCUUGAAAGCGUGCACACAAACAUACACUAAACAUAAUGUCAGGACGGCUUGCCGUCAAAUAUAGUAAUGAACCAAUCAUACCUCGAUAUUUUGUAAUAUCUAUUGACAUUCCGGAUUCAUCUUGAUCAACGUACGUUCCGGAUCCCAUAGGAGUGGACAUCACUUUGCAACUAUCCAUAUCGAAUCUUUUCAACAAUUCCUUGCAAUACUUGGAUUGGUUGAUGAAGAUGCCAUCCUUGGUUUGCUUGAUUUGUAGUCCAAGAAAAUAGUUCAAUUUUCCCAUCAUGGACAUCUCGAAUUCUCCUUGCAUCAUGAUUGAAAACUCUUCGCAAAGAUCUUUAUUUGUUGAACCGAAGAUGAUGUCGUCGACAUAGACUUGAGCCAAUAAGGUGUUACCCUUGAUCUUCUUUAUGAACAAAGUCUUGUCAACCUUUCCUUUUACAAAUCCCUUUUCACAUAGAAAGUUGCUGAGGCGGUCAUACCACGCUCUUGGUGCUUGCUUUAAGCCAUAUAGUGCUUUCUUCAACUUGUAAACAUGUGAGGGAUUCUUGAAGUCUUCAAAACCCGGAGGUUGUUUGACGUAGACUUCUUCAUUGAUAUAGCCAUUUAGGAAAGCGCUUUUGACAUCCAUCUGAAACAAUUGAAAAUUCAUAGAACAAGCAUAAGCAAGUAAUAAUCGAAUUGCUUCUAACCUUGCUACCGGAGCGAACGUCUCAUCAAAAUCAAUUCCUUCCUGUUGGUUGUAUCCUUGUGCGACCAAUCUUGCUUUGUUACGAACUAUGAUCCCAUUCUCAUCAAGUUUGUUCUUGAAGACCCAUCUUGUUCCUAUGAUGUGCUUGUUGUCCGGUCUUGGUACAAGACUCCAAACUUGAUUUCUUUCGAAUUGGUUGAGUUCUUCUUGCAUUGCUACUAUCCAUUGAUCGUCGCCUAAGGCUUCAUCGACUUUGGUUGGUUCUAUUUGAGACACAAAAGCCAUGUUGAGACAAGCAUCUUUGAGAUUUAGUCGUGUUGCAACGCCUUGGCUAAUAUCACCAAUAACUUUAUCGAUGGGGUGAUCUCUAUGAGUUUUCCAUUCUUUCGGUAGAUCAUGAUGUUCUUCAAUGAUUGGUGAGCCAUCUCCUUGUGGAAUUGAUUGAACAUUUGAAAGUUCCUUUUGUGACACAUCUAUUAUAUCAUCAUCGUCAUCAACAACAAAGUUAUCCUCUUUCGAGGGGUUAGUUUCAUCAAAACAUACAUGCGUUGAUUCUUCAAUAGUAAGAGUUCUUUUAUUGAAAAUUCUAAAUGCCUUACUAGAUAGGGAGUAGCCAAGGAAGAUACCUUCGUCGGAUUUCUCAUCAAACUUACCAAGGUUGUCCUUUCCAUUGUUGAGGACAAAACAUUUGCACCCAAAGAUGUGAAAGAAAGAUAUAUUAGGCUUCCUUCCUUUGAAAAGCUCAUACGGAGUCUUUUUGAGAAUCGGCCGAAUGUUGACACGGUUGCUAACAAAGCAUGCUGUGCUAACUGCGUCCGCCCAAAAAUAUUUAGGAAGGUUGGAGUCACUGAGCAUUGUUCUUGCGAGUUCCACCAAGGAUCUAUUCUUUCUCUCUACGACACCGUUUUGUUGUGGUGUUCGUGGUGCGGAGAAGUUGUGGGAAAUUCCGUGUUUUUCGCAAAAUUCUUCAAAGAAUGUGUUUUGAAAUUCUCCCCCGUGGUCACUUCUAAUGGAGGUUAUUGAAAGAGACUUCUCAUUCUGAAUUUGUUUUGCAUAUUUUUUGAAAGCCUUGAAAGCAUCGCUUUUCUGCACAAGAAACAAAGUCCACGUAUAUCUAGAGAAGUCAUCAACAAUUACCAAACCGUAAACAUUACCUCCGAAACUUUUCGUUCUUGAUGGACCGAAGAGAUCCAUGUGCAAGAGUUGAAGUGGCCUCGACGAAGAUACAACAUUCUUGGAUUUGAAAGUUGUCUUGGUUUGCUUUCCCUUUUGGCAUGCGUCACAUAGCUUAUCCUUGAUGAACUUAAUCUUUGGAAGACCAACGACAAGAUCAUGCUUUAUUAAUUUGUUCAUGUGCUCCAUGUGUAUAUGAGCGAAUCUUUUAUGCCAUAGCCAAGCCUCGUUGUUGUUCGUCAUUAGGCAUUUUACCUUCAAGGAAGAAUCAUCAAAAGAAGUCAUAAAAAUAUUAUUAACCCUUUUACCUUUUAGCAAAAUGUCAUGGGUGACUUCAUGCUCUAUCACACAUUCAUCUUUUGUGAAAUUGAUCCGGAACCCUUUGUCACACAAUUGACUUAUGCUAAGUAAAUUGUGCUUUAAGCCUUCAACAUAAAGGACAUCUUCGAUGAUGGUAAAAGGAGGUGCUCCAAUGGUUCCUACUCCAAGGAUCUUCCCUUUGGUGUCAUCACCGUAUGUAACAUAUCCUUUGGCCUUUAAAGAUAGAUGUGAAAAUUUGUCGAUGUCGCCCGUCAUAUGCUUUGAACAACCGCUAUCAAGAUACCAUUGAUUCGAGGUUGUCUUCAAGCAUACCUACAAAACAAAAUCAAGUUUUGUUAGGUACCCAAAUUGCUUUGGGUCCUUGGUAGUUAGUACCCUUUUUAACCCACACAUAAUGCCCUUUUGGAACGCUAAAGUUUCGCACAUAACAAGCAUUAGGUGUGUGCCCUUUGAUUCCACAAUAAAAGCAAGUAGGUUGAAAAUCACUUCUAUAUCUAGGAACAUAAUUCUUCUUCUUAGCAAUCAUUUUCUUUUUAUGACUUUGAUGCAUAAUUUUAGAAUUGUUUACUUUCUCUUUUGCAACUUGUUCACUUGCUUUAACAAAAAUGGUCUUAUUUGUGCUUGGUUUAGAAAACUUAGAAUAUCCUAAUCCACUUUUGUCAUUAGAAUACCUUUGGUGUUUAAGAAUUUCUUCCAACCCAAUUUGACCUUUUUCAUAUCUUUCUAAAACUCUUUUAAGUUGAACAAUUUGAAAAGAUAAAGAUUCACAAUUCUUACAUGCAAGACUUUGUUUUUCAUCCAUCAACUUUUGUUUUCCACUUUCAAUAUAUUUUUCCAAAGCAGUAUUUUUUUCUUCUAAGGAUGAAAUUUGUUUCUUUUGGGAUGAAAUACUUUUAUACAAUGUCUUGCAUUCUUUUAAGAGUUCAUUUAUAACAUCUUGUGCGUCAUUGUCAUAAACUGAAAAAUUGCUACUAACCUCAUCGAUUUCUUCAUCGGAGUGAUGUGAAGCCAUAAGAGCCAUGUUCGCACAUUCAUCGCUUUCCGAUUCCGAAGAUGAACUGAUCUCAUUAUCGUCCCAAGCGACGUAAGCCUUUUUGUUUUUGAAUUCCUUCUUUCCUUUGAAUCCUCCUUUCUUUGCAAGUUUUGGGCAAUCCGGCUUUAUGUGACCUUGCUGUCCACAUUCAUAACACGUGACGUCUUGCAUUGAUGUGGAUGCUUCCUUUUUCCUGAAAUGGUUAUUCUUUUUAGGAUAAGAGGAAUUUUUAUUUUUAUUAAAAAACUUACCAAGCUUCUUUACAAGAAGCAUAAAGUUCUAUCUUCGAACGUCUCAUCAUCUUUGUCCUUUUUUGAAUCAACCUUCAAGGCAAUUCCCUUGGACUUCUUUUCUUGACUUUCGUGCUUCUCGAGCCUUCCAAGUUCCAAUCCGUGUUCAUGAAGUUUUCCAAAUAGAGACACGGAUGUCAUCGUUGAGAGGCUCUUCUUUUCCGAAAUAGCGGUCACUUUCGGUUGCCAUUCUCUUGUCAAAGAUCUUAGGACUUUCAGGUUGAGAUCAUCAUUAGUGAAAGUUUUUCCAAGAGCAAUCAAGUGAUUUGUUAGAUGGACGAAUCUCUUUUGUAAGGCAACUAUAGAUUCACCGGGCUGCAUGCGGAACAUCUCAUAUUCUUGACUUAAAGUGUUUAGCCUCGAUCUCUUCACUUCGGUGGUUCCUUCAUGUGUUUCAACCAAGGUGUCCCAAAUCUCCUUUGCCGAUUUACAUUGAGAUAUACGGAAGAACUCGUCCAUACUAAGAGCGCUUUGGAGUAUGUUGAUUGCCUUUUUCUCAUUCAGAAUCUUUUUCCUAUCAUCUUCGUCAUAAGUGUUUUUCAACUUUGCGGUACCAACUCCAUUCACCACAUUCACCGGUUUGUGUGGACCUUCUUCAACUGCUUCCCAUAUACCUUCCCCUUGGGCCUCAAGAUGUGCCUUCAUUCUGAUUUUCCAGAAAUCGAAAUAUUCUCCAGAGAAGAGUGGGGGCUUGUUGCUACUUCCACCGUCUUUGAAAACCGGAUUUAUCCUUGCGGAAGCCAUGCUGGAUCUCUAGGAACAAGUUACCUAUAACUUGCUCUGAUGCCAAUUGUAAGUUGUAAAUGCGCCUAAGAGGGGGGGUGAAUUAGGUGGUUAAAAAUUCUUCGAACUUGUUUCCGGUUUUUCGUUAUUUUAUGUUUAAGUGCAGAAAGGUAAAUUGCGGAAAGUAAAAAGACACCGGAAAUUAUAGUGGUUCCCUUCACAAUCCGAAGGUACAUCCACUCCCCUUUCGACACGAAAGAGAUUUCACUAUAGUUUAGAAUUAUGGUACAGCCUAUUCACACCAACGGUGAUGCCUAC
Molecule: long non-coding RNA, 8271 nt
Filed under: Lathyrus oleraceus (garden pea)
Lineage: Eukaryota; Viridiplantae; Streptophyta; Magnoliopsida; Fabales; Fabaceae
Description: Pisum sativum (pea) long non-coding RNA (PSAT_LNC010631)
Source: RNAcentral